ACGGGUGAGUAAUGUCUGGGAAACUGCCUGAUGGAGGGGGAUAACUACUGGAAACGGUAGCUAAUACCGCAUAACGCGCAAGACCAAAGAGGGGGACCUUCGGGCCUCUUGCCAUCAGAUGUGCCCAGAUGGGAUUAGCUAGUAGGUGGGGUAACGGCUCACCUAGGCGACGAUCCCUAGCUGGUCUGAGAGGAUGACCAGCCACACUGGAACUGAGACACGGUCCAGACUCCUACGGGAGGCAGCAUG
RNAcentral lists this ribosomal RNA (249 nucleotides) under uncultured bacterium. RNAcentral describes it as "partial 16S ribosomal RNA". It matches the Rfam family "Bacterial small subunit ribosomal RNA", at positions 102 to 353 of the family's 1533-position model. The record is from RNAcentral.